RNAcentral lists this ribosomal RNA (256 nucleotides) under uncultured bacterium. Its description in RNAcentral is "partial 16S ribosomal RNA". It matches the Rfam family "Bacterial small subunit ribosomal RNA", at positions 524 to 776 of the family's 1533-position model. The record is from RNAcentral.
UACGAAGGGGGCUAGCGUUGCUCGGAAUCACUGGGCGUAAAGGGUGCGUAGGCGGGUCUUUUAAGUCAGGGGUGAAAUCCUGGAGCUCAACUCCAGAACUGCCUUUGAUACUGAAGAUCUUGAGUUCGGGAGAGGUGAGUGGAACUGCGAGUGUAGAGGUGAAAUUCGUAGAUAUUCGCAAGAACACCAGUGGCGAAGGCGGCUCACUGGCCCGAUACUGACGCUGAGAAGCGAAAAGCAUGGGGGAGCGAACAGG